UGGGGAAUAUUGGACAAUGGGGGAAACCCUGAUCCAGCAAUGCCGCGUGUGUGAAGAAGGCCUUCGGGUUGUAAAGCACUUUCGGUGGGGAAGAAAUUCUCAAGGGUAAUAUCCUUGGGCGUUGACGUUACCCACAGAAGAAGCACUGGCUAACUCUGUGCCAGCAGCCGCGGUAAUACAGAGAGUGCAAGCGUUAAUCGGAAUCACUGGGCGUAAAGCGCGCGUAGGUGGAUAUUUAAGUCGGAUGUGAAAGCCCUGGGCUUAACCUGGGAAUUGCACCCGAUACUGGGUAUCUUGAGUAUGGUAGAGGGAAGUGGAAUUUCCGGUGUAGCGGUGAAAUGCGUAGAUAUCGGAAAGAACACCAGUGGCGAAGGCGACUUCCUGGACCAAUACUGACACUGAGGCGCGAAAGCGUGGGGAGCAAACA
This 427-nucleotide ribosomal RNA is filed under the name uncultured Coxiella sp. RNAcentral's name for it is "bacterial SSU rRNA". It matches the Rfam family "Bacterial small subunit ribosomal RNA", at positions 355 to 774 of the family's 1533-position model. The record is from RNAcentral. Lineage: Bacteria; Pseudomonadati; Pseudomonadota; Gammaproteobacteria; Legionellales; Coxiellaceae.